Long non-coding RNA from Pleuronectes platessa (European plaice), 1294 nucleotides. RefSeq lists it as uncharacterized. Lineage: Eukaryota; Metazoa; Chordata; Actinopteri; Pleuronectiformes; Pleuronectidae. The record is from RefSeq and is a predicted model, not a curated record. The transcript is spliced from 5 exons.
GACCGAGUGCGCGAGCGGACAUGACGUGUGGCUGUCGUAAAAACCCUAUUUGUAAACAACCAGCCCUUUAACUCGGGGCUGCGUCAUAAACACGGCGCGCUUGGAAGACCACGAUGUCAUCUUCCUUCUGUCAGGAGGAUCCAAGUGAAGCUACAGGAGUUUCAUUAACGUCAACAACUUGGACCAAACAGUUUGUUUUGCUUGAUGAAGAGCAGGAAGGGCAGCCUGGAGAGAAAGAGAAGCCGGGUUGAGCCCACUACCAUCAUCCACGUACCACGAGGAAGAUGAGGGAGAGAAAUGAUCCUACCAUUAAAGAGACUGUGAAAAGAACGUUGAGAACAUCACCACUCUACAGGAAGACACAGUCCAGUAAUGGGUGUCAGAAGUUCAGUAGUGAACGACAGGUACUGUGGAAAAAUAUGUGUCAUUGUUGUACAAUGUCCUUUGACUCUGUUUAAACAAGGUUAACACAAAAAGGUUUGAUUGUAAACUGAUAUCGGUAUGAAUUCAUGUUAUUCUCCUCGUCAAAAGAAACAAACAAUCCAAAUUACCUGCAGAAAGCCCUUGAUGGACGCUUCAGCUGCAUCGUCAGACUGGCAGUACUGAUGCAUUUACUGAGAGGGGACGUGAGGGCCUACUCUGCGUGCUCAGAGUUCAAGCCCAGCAGGCUGCAGCGGGCCUGACAUAUUCUGGAACAGCAGCACAGUCUUUGGAUGACUCCUCUGAAGAUGAAAACAUGGCGAGAUGGUUCCCUCUGAUUUUUUUUUAACAUAAACGUCAGACAGGCCACUAAAAACUAAAAAUGCUGAAGCUAACAGCUACCACACAGCAAGCUAAUGCCUUCCUAAGGCUGCCAGGGAGUAGCAUGAGUAGCCUUGUAGCAAGAGAGUGUAGCUAAUCACAGCCCUCACAGUUCUUCAUCAGUGGAGAAGUACCUCGCCAUGUUUUCAUCUUCAGAGGAGUCAUCCAAAGACUGUGCUGCUGUUCCAGAAUAUGUCAGGCCCGCUGCAGCCUGCUGGGCUUGAACUCUGAGCACGCAGAGUAGGCCCUCACGUCCCCUCUCAGUAAAUGCAUCAGUACUGCCUGAGAAUAUAUGAUAAAAGACAAAAACGUCUCAAUUGUGCGUUUGUGUGUAUGUAUACAUACACACAUACAAGGCUUUCUUUUCUACAGAAAUAUUUUUCCUGAGUUGAUGACUCUGCUUAUUGCCAUCUAGAAUGUGAAACCAAAUAUAUUUUUUGGUGUACCCAUACAAGAUGUCCAAUGUAACACCAAUAAAAUCCAAUCUACUACA